UCAAAGGCGGAGCGGAGCGCCAGGCGCUGGGAUUUUUGCAGUCCGCCUCCACCGCUCAGGCGGCGCUCCGGCCAGAAGUCACAGAUCACUGUAUAAUGUAUAUUGUAUAUAAAGUUUAAACUUUGAAUUUCUUAAAGUAUGUAAACUCUGUGUAUUAUACAGAUCACGGUAUAAAUGUAUAAUAGUAUAAAAACUUGAUUAGAACUUUAGAAGAAGAACAAAAAAAAAAAUUGGAUUUGAUUGGAUUUGAUAUGGAUUGGAUUUGAUUUAUUAUGAAUUUGAUUGAUUAAAAGAAUAACAAUUUGAUUUGAUUAAUUAUGAACUUACUGUGAGCACGAUAUAGCAGGCAAUAGAGAUCGAGAACGAAGCAAUAGAGGAGAGAGAUCGAGAACGAAGCAAUAACAAUGACAGGAGAGAGAACAACGAAGCAGGAGAGAGAACGAAUUUGAGAAU
This 453-nucleotide long non-coding RNA is filed under the name Aquilegia coerulea. RNAcentral's name for it is "long non-coding RNA (ACOE_LNC002114)". The record is from RNAcentral. Lineage: Eukaryota; Viridiplantae; Streptophyta; Magnoliopsida; Ranunculales; Ranunculaceae.